CGACGACGAGACCAGCAGACCACCAUUCAUUCGUUCUCACCUGCGGCCGUCGACGGUGUGCUCGGUGGGCGAGUGCCAGUGCAUCUGCUUCAGGUAGUACGCCGUGCCGUUGAUCACCAGGAAGCCGGCGUCGCCCUUGAACCUCACCUGCAACCAAACAGUCAGCUGGCACUAGCCACGCCACGCACCAAUGCUUCCCACCAUGAUGCACCACCAGCUAGCGAACCCCCCUCCCCCCCUUGCCGUCGCGUCACGUACCAUGAUGUCGUGGCCGCGGUUGGCGAUGGCGGCCUCGGCGGGGCGGUAGGAGUGGGUGAGGUAGCCGAGGGACCGCACCAGCGAGACGCGCUCGUGGGAGAGGUCGAUGGGGGACUGCAUCCGCCCGGCGCUGCAGUUGCCCCACUCCGCCUUGAUGCUGCCCCAGUGCUCCGGCCCGUUCUCGUCGCCGACGACGUAGCUGAACUCCUCCUCGUGCUCGGUUUCUUCCUGGGCUCUGGCGGCCGGGACGGCAACGGAGAGCAGGAAGGCCGCCGCGAGGAGCCGCGCGGCGGUGAGGCCGCGGAGGUGACCCAUACCCUUCUGUAGCCUCUCCGCUUGCGGGCUCUGCUUUGCCUUUUUGGAAGCUGAACUGGUUUGGGAUGAAGUGCCCCCCCGCACCGAGUCCGAGUAUAUAAAAGGCCGUCGUCUCGUCAGUGUGUUAAUGCCAAAACACACUCAUAUUGUUUUUAAAAAAGAAACUUUUAUUCUUAUAAAACUCCAUACUUUUACG
Molecule: unclassified non-coding RNA, 769 nt
Filed under: Zea mays
Lineage: Eukaryota; Viridiplantae; Streptophyta; Magnoliopsida; Poales; Poaceae
Description: misc RNA Zm00001eb176630
Source: RNAcentral